This 774-nucleotide ribosomal RNA is filed under the name uncultured Neocallimastigales. Its description in RNAcentral is "partial large subunit ribosomal RNA". It matches the Rfam family "Eukaryotic large subunit ribosomal RNA", at positions 26 to 616 of the family's 3401-position model. Lineage: Eukaryota; Fungi; Neocallimastigomycota; Neocallimastigomycetes; Neocallimastigales. The record is from RNAcentral.
CGCAUCUGUGCAUGCAGCAUAUCAAUAAGCGGAGGAAAAGAAACUAACAAGGAUUCCCCUAGUAACGGCGAGUGAAGCGGGAAGAGCUCAAAUUUGAAAUCUUAAAGGGUUUCCCUUUACGAAUUGUAGUUUAAAGAAGUGUUUUCUGUUGAGGUUUUGGUAAAAGUUCUUUGGAAUAGGACAUCAUAGAGGGUGAGAAUCCCGUAUUUGACCUUUACUUUCAACUUUGUGAUACACUUUCAAAGAGUCGGAUUGUUUGGGAAUGCAGUCCAAAAUGGGUGGUAAAUUUCAUCUAAAGCUAAAUAUUGGCGAGAGACCGAUAGCGAACAAGUACCGUGAGGGAAAGAUGAAAAGAACUUUGAAAAGAGAGUUAAACAGUACGUGAAAUUGUCAAAAGGGAAGCGUUUGACACCAGUGUUGUUUUUCUGAAAAUCAAUUAAAGAACUGUUUAUGCUAAGUUGUUUAGACUUUAUCAGCUAUCUGUUUAGUUUUGAGCUUUUCUUUAAUGCACUUUUCAGUUAACAAGUCAACAUCAAUUCCUUUUGCUGUAAAAAAGCUUGAGGAAGGUGGCUUGAGAUUCGUCUUAAGUGUUUAUAGCCUCUUGCCUAUGCAGUCGGAGAGAUUGAGGUCUGCAGCGUAGAUCCUUCGGGGCUAAAUGCAUUUGUGCUAAGUUAUAGCAUUUUAUAGACAGCUUGUUGACUAUGAUUUGUCUUGUAGCUUACUCGCUUAUGUUAUUUUACCUACGCUUAGGAUGUUGAGCGCAUGUCUCUCUCU